UCGGUGGGGAAGAAAUUCUCAAGGAUAAUACCCUUUUGAGCGUUGACGUUACCCACAGAAGAAGCACUGGCUAACUCUGUGCCAGCAGCCGCGGUAAUACAGAGAGUGCAAGCGUUAAUCGGAAUCACUGGGCGUAAAGCGCGCGUAGGUGGAUAUUUAAGUCGGAUGUGAAAGCCCUAGGCUUAACCUGGGAAUUACAUCCGAUACUAGGUAUCUCGAGUAUGAUAGAGGGAAGUGGAAUUUCCGGUGUAGCGGUGAAAUGCGUAGAUAUCGGAAAGAACAUCAGUGGCGAAGGCGGCUUCCUGGAGCAAUACUGACACUGAGGCGCGAAAGCGUGGGGAGCAAACAGGAUUAGAGACCCUGGUAGUCCACGCCGUCAACGAUGAGAACUAGCUGUUGGAAAGUUUACUUUCUAGUAGCAAAGCUAACGCGUUAAGUUCUCCGCCUGGGGAGUACGGCCGCAAGGUUAAAACUCAAAGAAAUUGACGGGGGCCCGCACAAGCGGUGGAGCAUGUGGUUUAAUUCGAUGCAACGCGAAAAACCUUACCUACCCUUGACAUCCUCGGAACUUGUCAGAAAUGACUUGGUGCCU
RNAcentral lists this ribosomal RNA (592 nucleotides) under Coxiella burnetii. RNAcentral's name for it is "bacterial SSU rRNA". It matches the Rfam family "Bacterial small subunit ribosomal RNA", at positions 434 to 1019 of the family's 1533-position model. Lineage: Bacteria; Pseudomonadati; Pseudomonadota; Gammaproteobacteria; Legionellales; Coxiellaceae. The record is from RNAcentral.